This 468-nucleotide ribosomal RNA is filed under the name uncultured bacterium. RNAcentral describes it as "partial 16S ribosomal RNA". It matches the Rfam family "Bacterial small subunit ribosomal RNA", at positions 28 to 507 of the family's 1533-position model. The record is from RNAcentral.
GACGAACGCUGGCGGCGUGCUUAACACAUGCAAGUCGAACGGUGAAGCUCCAGCUUGCUGGAGUGGAUCAGUGGCGAACGGGUGAGUAACACGUGAGCAACCUGCCCCUGACUCUGGAAUAAGCGCUGGAAACGGCGUCUAAUACUGGAUACGAGAAGGGUCCGCAUGGGCACUUUCUGGAAAGUUUUUCGGUUGGGGAUGGGCUCGCGGCCUAUCAGCUUGUUGGUGAGGUAAUGGCUACCCAAGGCGACGGAGGGUAGCCGGCCGGAGAGGGCGACCGGCCACACUGGGACUGAGGCACGGCCCAGACUCCUACGGGAGGCAGCAGUGGGGAAUAUUGCACAAUGGGCGAAAGCCUGAUGCAGCGACGCCGCGUGAGGGAUGACGGCCUUCGGGUUGUAAACCUCUUUCAGCAGGGAAGAAGCGAAAGUGACGGUACCUGCAGAAGAAGCACCGGCUAACUACGUG